AGGCGACGCUGUCGCAGGCUUACACAUGCAAGUCGAACGGAAAGGCCCUUCGGGGUGCUCGAGUGGCGAACGGGUGAGUAACACGUGGGUGAUCUGCCCUGCACUUUGGGAUAAGCCUGGGAAACUGGGUCUAAUACCGGAUAGGACCAUGGCCUUCAUGGGUUGUGGUGGAAAGCUUUUGCGGUGUGGGAUGGGCCCGCGGCCUAUCAGCUUGUUGGUGGGGUAAUGGCCUACCAAGGCGACGACGGGUAGCCGGCCUGAGAGGGUGACCGGCCACACUGGGACUGAGAUACGGCCCAGACUCCUACGGGAGGCAGCAGUGGGGAAUAUUGCACAAUGGGCGCAAGCCUGAUGCAGCGACGCCGCGUGGGGGAUGACGGCCUUCGGGUUGUAAACCUCUUUCAGCACAGACGAAGCGUGAGUGACGGUAUGUGCAGAAGAAGCACCGGCCAACUACGUGCCAGCAGCCGCGGUAAUACGUAGGGUGCGAGCGUUGUCCGGAAUUACUGGGCGUAAAGAGCUCGUAGGUGGUUUGUCGCGUUGUUCGUGAAAACUCACAGCUUAACUGUGGGCGUGCGGGCGAU
RNAcentral lists this ribosomal RNA (584 nucleotides) under Mycobacterium sp. E5. Its description in RNAcentral is "bacterial SSU rRNA". It matches the Rfam family "Bacterial small subunit ribosomal RNA", at positions 26 to 631 of the family's 1533-position model. Lineage: Bacteria; Bacillati; Actinomycetota; Actinomycetes; Mycobacteriales; Mycobacteriaceae. The record is from RNAcentral.